RNAcentral lists this long non-coding RNA (200 nucleotides) under Ricinus communis (castor bean). RNAcentral's name for it is "long non-coding RNA (RCOM_LNC001285)". The record is from RNAcentral. Lineage: Eukaryota; Viridiplantae; Streptophyta; Magnoliopsida; Malpighiales; Euphorbiaceae.
CUUGCCGGCUUGUUUUCGGCGAUCAGACGCCGGGAUCGGACUCCCCACCCCCGAAAACCCCGGAAGCCACCCUCCUUCGUCGGAAAAUCCUUGCCGGCAGCCAUGGGAAGUGUCGCGUGAGCAGCGACUUUCCGGCCCCGAUCCGCCGCCUUCCGGCCACUUUCCGGCCAAAAAUCUUGUACUUCUGGACUCCUCGCAAC